RNAcentral lists this ribosomal RNA (253 nucleotides) under uncultured bacterium. RNAcentral describes it as "partial 16S ribosomal RNA". It matches the Rfam family "Bacterial small subunit ribosomal RNA", at positions 524 to 776 of the family's 1533-position model. The record is from RNAcentral.
UACGGAGGGUGCAAGCGUUACCCGGAUUCACUGGGUUUAAAGGGUGCGUAGGUGGGCAGGUAAGUCAGUGGUGAAAUCCCCAAGCUUAACUUGGGAACUGCCAUUGAUACUAUUUGUCUUGAAUACCGUGGAGGUGAGCGGAAUAUGUCAUGUAGCGGUGAAAUGCUUAGAUAUGACAUAGAACACCAAUUGCGAAGGCAGCUUGCUACGCGGAUAUUGACACUGAUGCACGAAAGCGUGGGGAUCAAACAGG